Molecule: non-coding RNA, 783 nt
Filed under: Ochthebius atriceps
Lineage: Eukaryota; Metazoa; Arthropoda; Insecta; Coleoptera; Hydraenidae
Source: RNAcentral
AAAAAGUUUUAUUUUAGCUUGAAAUAUUGGUUUAUAAUUUUUUUACAUGUAAGUUAAAGCAUUAAAUUUUAAAAAUUUAAAUAAUUUUUAUUUUAUAAAUUAGUCGCAGUUUUUAAGUUUUAAAAUUAAAGAAAUUUAGAUUAAGAAAUUUAUAUUAAUAUUAACAAAAUUUGUGCCAGCAGUUGCGGUUAUACAAAUAAUAUGAUUAAUAUUUAUUAAUUAAUAAUUAAUUGUUAUUAUUAAUAAUUAAAAGUUAAAUUUAUUAAGUGAAAUUUUAAAUUUAAUUAAAUUUAUAUAAAAAAUUAUGAGGUUAUUAAAUUUUUAUUUAAACUAGGAUUAGAUACCCUAUUAUUUAAAAAGUAAAAUUAAAUAUUAAAUUAUUAAUAGUUAUAGUCUUUAAAAUUAAAAAAUUUGGCGGUAUUUUAGUCUUUUCAGAGGAACCUGUUCUAUAAUUGAUAUUCCACGAUUAAUUGUACUUAUUUUAUUAGUUUAUAUAUCGUCGUAGGUUGAAUAUUUUAUAAGAAUUUAAAUGUUCAAGAUUUAUAAUUAUAAAUUAAAUCAGAUCAAGGUAUAGCUUAUAAAUAAGAAGAAAUGGGUUACAAUAGAUUUAUUUAAAUGGAUUUAAAAUUGAAAAAUUUUUAUGAAGGUGGAUUUGAAAGUAAUAUAAUUAAUUUAAAUUAUAUGAUUUAAGCUCUAUAAUAUGUACAUAUCGCCCGUCGCUCUCAUAUAAAAUGAGAUAAGUCGUAACAAAGUAGAUGUACUGGAAAGUGUAUCUAGAAUUAA